UCGAAAGGCAGGAGUGCCCGCAAGGAAGCGCGGAGACAAGUGGUGCAUGGCUGUCGUCAGCUCGUGUCGUGAGAUGUUGGGUUAAGUCCCGCAACGAGCGCAACCCUCACCCCUUGUUGCCAUCAGGUGAUGCUGAACACUCUAGGGGAACUGCCCCAGUCAACGGGGAGGAAGGCGGAGACGUCGUCAAGUCAUCAUGCCCCUUACGUCCUGGGCUACACACGUGCUACAAUGGCCGGUACAGAGGGAUACUAGACCGCGAGGUGGAGCUAAACCCAAAAAGCCGAUCUAAGUUCAGAUUAGAGUCUGCAACUCGACUCCAUGAAGGAGGAAUCGCUAGUAAUCGCGUAUCAGCACGACGCGGUGAAUACGUUCCCAGGCCUUGUACACACCGCCCGUCACACCACGAAAGCCAGCUGUACUCGAAGUCGCUGAG
RNAcentral lists this ribosomal RNA (436 nucleotides) under uncultured bacterium. Its description in RNAcentral is "bacterial SSU rRNA". It matches the Rfam family "Bacterial small subunit ribosomal RNA", at positions 1001 to 1434 of the family's 1533-position model. The record is from RNAcentral.